CGGCGGACGGGUGAGUAACACGUGGAUAACCUACCUAUAAGACUGGGAUAACUUCGGGAAACCGGAGCUAAUACCGGAUAAUAUAUUGAACCGCAUGGUUCAAUAGUGAAAGACGGUUUUGCUGUCACUUAUAGAUGGAUCCGCGCCGCAUUAGCUAGUUGGUAAGGUAACGGCUUACCAAGGCAACGAUGCGUAGCCGACCCGAGAGGGUGAUCGGCCACACUGGAACUGAGACACGGUCCAGACUCCUACGGGAGGCAGCAGCC
RNAcentral lists this ribosomal RNA (266 nucleotides) under uncultured Staphylococcus sp. RNAcentral describes it as "partial 16S ribosomal RNA". It matches the Rfam family "Bacterial small subunit ribosomal RNA", at positions 96 to 355 of the family's 1533-position model. Lineage: Bacteria; Bacillati; Bacillota; Bacilli; Caryophanales; Staphylococcaceae. The record is from RNAcentral.